Molecule: ribosomal RNA, 390 nt
Filed under: Rhizobium sp.
Lineage: Bacteria; Pseudomonadati; Pseudomonadota; Alphaproteobacteria; Hyphomicrobiales; Rhizobiaceae
Description: bacterial SSU rRNA
Rfam family: Bacterial small subunit ribosomal RNA
Source: RNAcentral
GGACAAUGGGCGCAAGCCUGAUCCAGCCAUGCCGCGUGAGUGAUGAAGGCCUUAGGGUUGUAAAGCUCUUUCACCGGAGAAGAUAAUGACGGUAUCCGGAGAAGAAGCCCCGGCUAACUUCGUGCCAGCAGCCGCGGUAAUACGAAGGGGGCUAGCGUUGUUCGGAAUUACUGGGCGUAAAGCGCACGUAGGCGGAUAUUUAAGUCAGGGGUGAAAUCCCAGAGCUCAACUCUGGAACUGCCUUUGAUACUGGGUAUCUUGAGUAUGGAAGAGGUAAGUGGAAUUCCGAGUGUAGAGGUGAAAUUCGUAGAUAUUCGGAGGAACACCAGUGGCGAAGGCGGCUUACUGGUCCAUUACUGACGCUGAGGUGCGAAAGCGUGGGGAGCAAAC